GCGAGAGAGGGGCUUCGUGCUCCCGGGGGCUUCGGUCCUCAACUCUUCACCCGAUGCGUACCUACCUUCGUUGCUUUGGCGGGUCUCGAGGGUCCCUCGAGCCGGCCCCGGGCUUCACCGCUCGGGUUCGCGAGCGUUCGCCGAAGGUCCAUUAAACCCUUCUUAUCAGUGACGUCGGAGUACAAUCGAAUUAUAUAAAACUUUCAACAACGGAUCUCUUGGUUCUGGCAUCGAUGAAGAACGCAGCGAAAUGCGAUAAGUAAUGUGAAUUGCAGAAUUCAGUGAAUCAUCGAAUCUUUGAACGCACAUUGCGCCCCUCGGUAUUCCGGGGGGUAUGCCUGUUCGAGCGUCAUUACACCCCUCAAGCCUCGCUUGGUCCUGGGCCUUCGCCCUCGCGGCGGGCUCGAAAAACAGUGGCGGUCCGAGGCGGCCUCAAGCGUAGUAAACUCUCUCGCUUGGGCGCACGUCUCGUGACCGGCCAAAACCCCACGGAUCGAUCGAUCCCUUCAAGAUUGACCUCGGAUCAGGUAGGGAUACCCGCUGAAC
This 546-nucleotide ribosomal RNA is filed under the name Lecanora intumescens. RNAcentral describes it as "eukaryotic LSU rRNA". The stretch from base 199 to 352 matches the Rfam family "5.8S ribosomal RNA". The record is from RNAcentral. Lineage: Eukaryota; Fungi; Ascomycota; Lecanoromycetes; Lecanorales; Lecanoraceae.